AUUGAACGCUGGCGGCAUGCUUUACACAUGCCAGUCGAACGGCAGCGCGGGCUUCGGCCUGGCGGCGAGUGGCGAACGGGUGGGUAAUACAUCGGAACGUGCCCAGUAGUGGGGGAUAGCUCGGCGAAAGCCGGAUUAAUACCGCAUACGACCUGAGGGUGAAAGCGGGGGAUCUUCGGACCUCGCGCUAUUGGAGCGGCCGAUGGCAGAUUAGCUAGUUGGUGGGGUAAAGGCCUACCAAGGCGACGAUCUGUAGCUGGUCUGAGAGGACGACCAGCCACACUGGGACUGAGACACGGCCCAGACUCCUACGGGAGGCAGCAGUGGGGAAUUUUGGACAAUGGGCGAAAGCCUGAUCCAGCAAUGCCGCGUAUGUGAUGAAGGCCUUCGGGUUGUAAAGCACUUUUGGCGGGAACGAAAAGGACUGUGCCAAUACCACGGUUCGAUGACGGUACCCGCAGAAUAAGCACCGGCUAACUACGUG
RNAcentral lists this ribosomal RNA (484 nucleotides) under uncultured bacterium. RNAcentral's name for it is "partial 16S ribosomal RNA". It matches the Rfam family "Bacterial small subunit ribosomal RNA", at positions 29 to 507 of the family's 1533-position model. The record is from RNAcentral.